This 158-nucleotide ribosomal RNA is filed under the name Entyloma calendulae. RNAcentral describes it as "5.8S ribosomal RNA". It matches the Rfam family "5.8S ribosomal RNA". Rfam says of the family: 5.8S ribosomal RNA (5.8S rRNA) is a component of the large subunit of the eukaryotic ribosome. It is transcribed by RNA polymerase I as part of the 45S precursor that also contains 18S and 28S rRNA. Lineage: Eukaryota; Fungi; Basidiomycota; Exobasidiomycetes; Entylomatales; Entylomataceae. The record is from RNAcentral. RNAcentral also lists the same sequence under 6 other names.
CAACUUUUGACAACGGAUCUCUUGGUUCUCCCAUCGAUGAAGAACGCAGCGAAAUGCGAUAAGUAAUGUGAAUUGCAGAAUUCAGUGAAUCAUCGAAUCUUUGAACGCACCUUGCGCUCCUUGGUAUUCCGAGGAGCAUGCCUGUUUGAGUGUCAUGA